UUAAAGUUCCAAAAGUGGAAUAAGCUUUUGGGUUGUUAAUAUUAUACCAUCCCUUUGUCUAUCUAUCUAUCUUUACUUUCUUGUAAUCGUUUGUCUAUAUCUAGUGUAAUCCAUUUGUGUUCUUGUCUUGUAACCGUGUGUUGUUGUUAUUGCAUCUUGUUCAUCAAGUGUGGUUGUUGUUUUAGUGUAUUUUACUCUUGAUAUCACUUCCC
Molecule: long non-coding RNA, 212 nt
Filed under: Capsicum annuum
Lineage: Eukaryota; Viridiplantae; Streptophyta; Magnoliopsida; Solanales; Solanaceae
Description: long non-coding RNA (CANN_LNC012061)
Source: RNAcentral